GAUGAAGAACGUAGCGAAAUGCGAUAAGUAUUGCGAAUUGCAGAAUUUCCGUGAGUCAUCGAAUCUUUGAACGCACAUUGCGCCCACUGGUAUUCCGGUGGGCAUGCCUGUUCGAGCGUCAUUAUCCUCCCUCAAACCCCGGGUUUGGUGUUGGACCCAAGUUGUGUGAACAACUGGUCUUAAAGACAAUGACGGCGUCCGUGGGACCCUCGGUGCAACGAGCUUUUAGGAGCACGCAUCGAGUUGCAAGGACCUUCCGGGCCGGUCUCCUUUACUAUUUUACAAGGUUGACCUCGGAUCAGGUAGGAAUACCCGCUGAACUUAAGCAUAUCAAUAAGCGGAGGA
This 345-nucleotide unclassified non-coding RNA is filed under the name soil metagenome. RNAcentral describes it as "partial contains 5.8S ribosomal RNA, internal transcribed spacer 2, and large subunit ribosomal RNA". The stretch from base 1 to 121 matches the Rfam family "5.8S ribosomal RNA", at positions 35 to 154 of the family's 154-position model. The record is from RNAcentral.